RNAcentral lists this ribosomal RNA (570 nucleotides) under Lodderomyces parapsilosis. RNAcentral describes it as "Candida parapsilosis partial large subunit ribosomal RNA". It matches the Rfam family "Eukaryotic large subunit ribosomal RNA", at positions 65 to 651 of the family's 3401-position model. Lineage: Eukaryota; Fungi; Ascomycota; Pichiomycetes; Serinales; Debaryomycetaceae. The record is from RNAcentral.
CCAACAGGGAUUGCCUUAGUAGCGGCGAGUGAAGCGGCAAAAGCUCAAAUUUGAAAUCUGGCACUUUCAGUGUCCGAGUUGUAAUUUGAAGAAGGUAUCUUUGGGUCUGGCUCUUGUCUAUGUUUCUUGGAACAGAACGUCACAGAGGGUGAGAAUCCCGUGCGAUGAGAUGUCCCAGACCUAUGUAAAGUUCCUUCGAAGAGUCGAGUUGUUUGGGAAUGCAGCUCUAAGUGGGUGGUAAAUUCCAUCUAAAGCUAAAUAUUGGCGAGAGACCGAUAGCGAACAAGUACAGUGAUGGAAAGAUGAAAAGAACUUUGAAAAGAGAGUGAAAAAGUACGUGAAAUUGUUGAAAGGGAAGGGCUUGAGAUCAGACUUGGUAUUUUGUAUGUUACUCUCUCGGGGGUGGCCUCUACAGUUUACCGGGCCAGCAUCAGUUUGAGCGGUAGGAUAAGUGCAAAGAAAUGUGGCACUGCUUCGGUAGUGUGUUAUAGUCUUUGUCGAUACUGCCAGCUUAGACUGAGGACUGCGGCUUCGGCCUAGGAUGUUGGCAUAAUGAUCUUAAGUCGCCCG